Molecule: long non-coding RNA, 3413 nt
Organism: Bubalus bubalis (water buffalo)
Lineage: Eukaryota; Metazoa; Chordata; Mammalia; Artiodactyla; Bovidae
Exons: 2
Source: RefSeq, a predicted model, not a curated record
CCAGGGACGCCUUGUUACGAGAAUCUUCUUCACCAUAAGUUCACCGUUUUCUUCUUUCUAGCCAAAAGAGAGCAAGCAAAUGAAGAUUCUACUCAAAAUAUAUAAAUUGCAUCAAAACAGCUUUUUAAGAUAAAUAAUCCAAUAGGAAAAUGGGUAAUACAAAAAAAUGUCUCAAAAGAGAGGAAACAAAAAUUAUAAAUACAUAAAAGAUGCUAAACUUCAUUAGUAAUCAGUAAAAUGCAUUAACACCAUGUGAUGAAGAAUCUUCCUGCAAUGCAGGAGACGCAGGGGACCUGGUUCGAUCCCUGGGUUGGGAAGAUCCCCUGGAGAAGGGCAUGGCAACCCACUCCAGUAUUCUCACCUGGAAAAUUCCACAGACAGAGGAGCCUGGAGAGAUACAGUCCAUAGAGUUGCAAAGAAUUAGACAGGACUGAAGUGACUUAGCCUGGCACAUAUGAGUUAAUAACAUAAAGCACUUAAAGUAAUGCAGAGUACAUCAUGAGCCUUCAGGUGAGCUGGGUUUAUUUUAUUUCAGUUUAUUAACACCACAGUGAGAGUUUAUUUUACACCCAACAAACUGGUAAACACUAAAGCGUGUGGCACAUGCAGUACCUGAGAAGCGGAUACAAAGGAGUUUAUUCAUAAAACAGAAACAGACCCACAGAUUAAAAGACGGAAUUGAUGGCUGCCGGGCAGUGAAGGGGUAGGUAGGGAGUUUGGGAUCAUGAUAUGUACACACUGUUACAUUUAAAAUGGAAAACCAAUAAGACCCUCCUGUAGAGCAUGGGGAACUCUGCUCACUGUUGUGUGGCAGCCUGGAUGGGAGAGAGUCUGGGGGAGAGUGGACCCAUGCAUAUGUAUGGAUGAGCCCCUGUGCGGUCUACCAGAAACUACCACAGCAUUAUUCAUCGCCUACACUCCAGUAUAAAAUAAAAUGCUUUUAAAAAUGCAGUUAAUAAGCAUGGGUAAGGAUGUGAAGGAAUGGGGGUUCUCAUAAACUGCCAGUGGGGGCAGACAUUAUAAGCCCUGGAAAGCAAUUCAGCUUUGCUGUGGGUUGGAGGAACUAACCCCACAUUUGGGUGUGCUGCUCUGACCCUUUUACCAAAUAAUACUUAGGCUACUACUUUUGAUGGGGGCCCAGAAUGAAAGAAGUCUCUGCAGCAGCCAUUGUGGAAAACUGGAGUUUCAUCAAAAACAGAACUACAAUAUGAUGCAGUAAUUCCAUUUCUGGAUAUUUAUCCAGAGAUAACAAAACACUAAAAGAUUUAUGCAACCCCAUGUUCAUUGCAGCAUUAUUCACAAUAGCCAAGAUAUGGAAGCAACCCACGUGCCUAUAGAUACAUGAGUGAAUAAAGAAGAUGCGAAAUAUAUAUGCGUAUACACAAAGAUUAUUCAGCCAUAGAGAAAGAGUGAAACCUUGUUGAUGACAACAUGAAUGAACUUUGAGUGCUAAAUGAAAUGUCAGACAGAAAAAGACAAAUACUUCAUGACCUCAUUUAUAUGUGGAAUCUAAAAAUCAAGACAAAAGCAAAAAUGAACUCAGAUACAAGCAGGUGGCUGUCAGAGGCAAGGGGAAUUGGAGGAACAAGUUGCCAACUUUCAGUUUUAAAAUAGUCCUGGAAUGUAGUGACAGGAUGGUGACUGCAGUUAAAUAAAAAGGAAAAAAACAUUUAAAAAAAGAAAAAUAGUAGUCAGCAAUUCAAUUCCAAAUGCCACAGUGAGUUCAAGUAAGAUAAAAAUGAGGACAUAAUUAUUGUCUUAGAAAUGAUUCAGUGAAAUAAACUCAGAGAUCAAAAUUCAGUGGUCCAAGAAAUAAAAAGGAUGUAACAUGCAAACAGGGAAUACAGGCAAUCAAGAAUCAUUGCUCUAAGAUCAUAAUUAUAUGCCUUAGCAUUUCUACUUCUUGAAACAGAUGCAAAGUAAAUAAGCAUGUAUGCAUGCAAAGAGCUAGCCACCUGAAGUACGUUUUAUAUGCUGUUUAUAUUAGUUAAAAAGAUAAUAAUGUGACAUAUAUUCAAAGUUAGGGGAUUGAUUAUACAUACAUAUUAAGGUAAAUGGAAUAUUGCACAACCAUUUAAAUAAUGGGUAAGAAUAAACUUAUUCAUGCAGAAAUCUGUGCCUGAUUCACUUUUAGAUUGAUAAAGUCUGAAAUAUUACAUAUGUUAGGAUUUUGGUUUUAGAAAAAAUUAAUUUAUGAAAAGAAAGAGAUAUAGAUAGUUUAAGAUAGAGAUAUAGACAGUUUAAGAUAGACAUAUAGACAGACAGUUUAAGAUGCUUUGGGCUAUGAAUAACAGAAUAACAAAUUCAUAGAGGAUUAAAUAUGACCAUUUCUUAUCCAUAUGGAGAGGGUCUUUCAAUUGGGCAAUAGCAGGCUGCUCAAUGGUUAAUUCAGUUGCUCAGAAAUAGGGUCAAGGAGGUUUCUAGCUGUCACCUUGAUCCUGAAGCUCAUUAUGAUCAAUUACAGCUUAAAAUCUAUCGACCCUUCUCUCUUCAAGGGUAUUUCUGAAAGAAGGGUUUUGCCCACACUAUGUCAAAUCGACAUCUCUCAUCACUGUCAUCAGUCUACCUCAGUGACUCUUUCCCUUAGAUGUGUGAGAUGGAGACACACUUCUCAGAAAAGAUGAGCGGCCCGACUCUAGAGCAUAGGUGCCUUGGGAUGGAGCGAAUGUCUGAGUCCUCCCAAACGUCUUGUGUUGAAGCCCUCGCACGCCCUCCGUAUGAUGGUACUCGCGCCAGGGCGGGGGGCGGUGGGGUGGAAUAGGAGGUAAUUAGGUUUAGAUGAGGCAUGAGAAUGGCACUCCCAUGAUGGAAUUAGUGUUCCUGUAAGAAAAAAAGAGAGACCACAGUCCUCUCUCCCCACUUACAUGGCCCCACCAUCCUCCAGGUUAGGACACACCAGGAAGGCCGCCGUCUGCAAGCCCUGGAGAGCGCCUUUACCAGGACCCGACUCUGCCAGCACCUUCAUCGUGGACUUUUCACAGUUCUCACAGCCUCUAGAACUGCGAGAAAUCAACGUUUAUUGUUUCAACCACCCAGCCUAUGGAGGAUUCUUUACCGCUGAGCCACUGAAGAAGAUACUGGAGCAUCUUAACGUCAUACUCUUGGGAAAUGAGAUUAUCAAUGGCUGUAAAAUGUUUCACUGGGUCGUCCCUGACUUAAAAGAUUUUUCAACUUUGUGAAUGGUGCGGGAAGGACACACAUUAAGUAGGAACCCUACUUCCGAAUUUGAAUGCUGAUGUUCUCCUGAUCGGCUGUCCAGUGCUGUCUGUGAUGCGGGGCAGUGACAGGCAGCCACGGGUCCCCGUCAGCCGCACCGUCAGAAGUGUGCACAGCUGACACGCAACCUUUCUGAACCCAUACUACCAUUCUGUUUUUCCCUUUCACUGCGGCAUUCAAUAAAUUACAUGAGAUCU